This 94-nucleotide transfer RNA is filed under the name Paractinoplanes deccanensis. Its description in RNAcentral is "Actinoplanes deccanensis tRNA-Gly". Lineage: Bacteria; Bacillati; Actinomycetota; Actinomycetes; Micromonosporales; Micromonosporaceae. The record is from RNAcentral.
CCGGUCGCGGUCAGGACGGUGGCGCCGUCCUCGCCGGGGGCGGUGGCGAAGCUGAGUGCGGUGCUCAUCGCGGGAUCCUCGCUUGCAGGCCGAC